UGAUAUAGGGGUUAAAGUGAUAUGAGUGCAGAUAAGAAAACCAAACCUGUGUCUUACCUGCACUCAUGUCACUUUAACCCCUGUAUCA
This is a non-coding RNA of Pelobates cultripes (western spadefoot toad), 88 nucleotides long. The record is from the annotation of a GenBank genome assembly. Lineage: Eukaryota; Metazoa; Chordata; Amphibia; Anura; Pelobatidae.